AGUUUUGAUGUUGUCAAUUCAUUCAAUUUAUUGGUAACUUCAUCCUCGAGCACAGUAGACUCAACUAGCUUCUUCUUUACUAUCGGAAAUGUCGUCUCCUUGUAAUAAGUCAGAGGUGGUAUAGAUGGAUAGAGAUUUUGCUUUCCAACUGCAUAUUAGAGAAGAACUUCAUACAUAUCAGUGACUAAGGAAUUUCAAAUUCAGCUGAAAUAUAUUGUUGAAAUUCUAGGCAAAAGGUAGGAACAUUACAUCCACCACAGGUCAAGUUUUAGCCAAUAAAAAACUACUCAGACAAGAUCUGAAAAAACUUACAUGCAAGAUGUAUCUGACUCUUUUGAGUACAUAAAAGCAAUAUAGAUUAGAUCACUUUAGUAGCCAAAAACUUACACCCACAAUCUCAAAUGCAUUAGGACACUUAAAUGCUAGGCGAUUCAACCAAAUAUUCUGAAAUAUUGAAUUUUUUU
This is a non-coding RNA of Coffea arabica (coffee), 464 nucleotides long. The record is from RefSeq and is a predicted model, not a curated record. Lineage: Eukaryota; Viridiplantae; Streptophyta; Magnoliopsida; Gentianales; Rubiaceae.